Spinacia oleracea (spinach) is the source of this 1121-nucleotide long non-coding RNA. RefSeq lists it as uncharacterized. The record is from RefSeq and is a predicted model, not a curated record. The transcript has 3 exons. Lineage: Eukaryota; Viridiplantae; Streptophyta; Magnoliopsida; Caryophyllales; Amaranthaceae.
UAGAAGCUUCCAUUUUCUUUUGCCUGAGAAACAAUAAAACACUACCCAAGAAAUUAAAAGGAAAAAACAAAACCCCAAUCUCUCUCACUCCUCCCUCGAUUCUCGUAACUCCUCUCCUCUUCAUCACUGAUCUCUCUCUUCAUUACUCAAUCGUACCGUCGUGCCUCCCUGCCGCCUCUUCUUGCCGGGUUGUGUUGAGGUUUUCUUGCUAUUGUUACUGAUGCUUCCUUCAUCUCUCACCUCUCGUCCUCACUCUAUGCGCCGCCGCCGGUGAUAGCCAUGGUUAUCAUCCUUGCUAGCUCUACACUUCAUCAUCUAACUGGUAAUUCUUCUUAAUUCCAUUCCAUUAUGGUUUCAAUUGAAUUUAAUUGAAAACCCCCAAUUCACAAACCCUAACUCACUUGAUUUCUCCCUCCUCGCUGCGGACCUGCGGUGGUGCGCGCACGAACCUCUCGGUCGACGCCAUUGGUGUUGUGGUGGUGAUACUCUUGCUGUUGGUGGUUGUUGCCUGCCUCUCCUUGUCCCUCUGUUUUAUCGAGUCACUGUCGCCAUAGUCUUGGCUGCCGUGGAAACUGCUCCUUCACUAGUUUGUUGCAAUUCUUGUUGAUAAUUCGGUUAUUGAUUGAUGUUUUCAUCGUCAGUAUUGCCUCUGUUGCCUUCUUACUGCAGUUUCUCUAAAGGGUGAAUUGUUGGAGAGCGAUUAAGAAAAAGUUAAAUUAUGGAAUUGGCGGAGAUUUAUGAUCGGAUGUAUAGUCUUUGGAGUAUAUGUGUGGAGAUUAAAGAGUUAAAAUUUAAAAUGAUUUGCAGGUAGCAAGAGUCAAGUCUCAGUUCAGGUUUAAGGUUCGAAGAGUUCUCCAAGGGCCUUAUAUGUCCAAGGUUGGAUUAUGGAUUCGCUAAAUGUAAUUAGGACUUCUAGAGUUUGUUAAUGGUUUGUAUAAUUUAUUCUUAACCUUUUUGUUUAUAAUUUAUGCAUUAUAUAUCAGUGUUGGAGUUGUAGUUAAGUUAAGUUGUUUGGUUAAGGUUAAGUGUGCUUAGAAGUAGCUCAUUAAGUGUGGGAUGUUACAGGGACACCCUGGUGAUGUUUUGGGAAAUGUUAUAUAUGUUGGAAUGAUUUAAUUGAA